This 253-nucleotide ribosomal RNA is filed under the name uncultured bacterium. RNAcentral describes it as "partial 16S ribosomal RNA". It matches the Rfam family "Bacterial small subunit ribosomal RNA", at positions 524 to 776 of the family's 1533-position model. The record is from RNAcentral.
UACGUAGGGGGCAAGCGUUAUCCGGAUUUACUGGGUGUAAAGGGAGCGUAGACGGCAGAGCAAGUCUGAAGUGAAAGCCCGCGGCCCAACUGCGGGACUGCUUUGGAAACUGCCCGGCUAGGGUGCUGGAGAGGUAAGCGGAAUUCCUAGUGUAGCGGUGAAAUGCGUAGAUAUUAGGAGGAACACCAGUGGCGAAGGCGGCUUACUGGACAGUAACUGACGUUGAGGCUCGAAAGCGUGGGGAGCAAACAGG